UAACCCACCUGGUUAUACCGCAUCCCUCUGCUCAGAGACCCCCAAAGUACCAAAGCUAAUCCAGUUUACCGGAUCCAUCCACAGCUCCCACGUCCACUACAGAGCAGCCGUCUGCAGUAAGAGAUUGCAAACCCAGUGGAGCAGCCGCUAGGCAUUAAUCCCGGUUUAUUGUCUGUGACUGCAGAAAAGUCAGCCCUGAUCUCCAGCCCAAGCCGUCCGUGUGCUCCGUACCUUCUGUCCUGCAUGAUGACCCCGCGGACUUCACAACUUGUUUGAUCCUCUGCGCAGGUCUAUCUGAUGCCAUUCUCAGUCUGUAACGUUCUCCUGCUCUGGAAAGCCAAGCCUCAGCGUGGUCAGGUCUUGUCUGAAGAUGAGAAGGAGCCGGCCGCUCGUAAUCUCUUUG
Long non-coding RNA from Spea bombifrons (plains spadefoot toad), 403 nucleotides. RefSeq lists it as uncharacterized. NCBI's taxonomy places the organism in Eukaryota, Metazoa, Chordata, Amphibia, Anura, Pelobatidae. The record is from RefSeq and is a predicted model, not a curated record. The transcript is spliced from 3 exons.